This 344-nucleotide ribosomal RNA is filed under the name Anoxybacillus flavithermus. Its description in RNAcentral is "bacterial SSU rRNA". It matches the Rfam family "Bacterial small subunit ribosomal RNA", at positions 1 to 333 of the family's 1533-position model. The record is from RNAcentral. Lineage: Bacteria; Bacillati; Bacillota; Bacilli; Caryophanales; Anoxybacillaceae.
UCUAUGGAGAGUUUGAUCCUGGCUCAGGACGAACGCUGGCGGCGUGCCUAAUACAUGCAAGUCGAGCGGACGAAUCGAAAGCUUGCUUUUGAUUCGUUAGCGGCGGACGGGUGAGUAACACGUGGGCAACCUGCCCUGUAGACGGGGAUAACACCGAGAAAUCGGUGCUAAUACCGGAUAACACGAAAUGUCGCAUGACGUUUCGUUGAAAGACGGCGCAAGCUGUCGCUACAGGAUGGGCCCGCGGCGCAUUAGCUAGUUGGUGAGGUAACGGCUCACCAAGGCGACGAUGCGUAGCCGACCUGAGAGGGUGAUCGGCCACACUGGGACUGAGACACGGCCCA